UCGAACGAUGAAGCCCAGCUUGCUGGGUGGAUUAGUGGCGAACGGGUGAGUAACACGUGAGCAACCUGCCCCUGACUCUGGGAUAAGCGCUGGAAACGGCGUCUAAUACUGGAUAUGUCCCGUCACCGCAUGGUGUGCGGGUGGAAAGAUUUUUCGGUUGGGGAUGGGCUCGCGGCCUAUCAGCUUGUUGGUGAGGUAAUGGCUCACCAAGGCGUCGACGGGUAGCCGGCCUGAGAGGGUGACCGGCCACACUGGGACUGAGACACGGCCCAGACUCCUACGGGAGGCAGCAGUGGGGAAUAUUGCACAAUGGGCGGAAGCCUGAUGCAGCAACGCCGCGUGAGGGAUGACGGCCUUCGGGUUGUAAACCUCUUUUAGCAGGGAAGAAGCGAGAGUGACGGUACCUGCAGAAAAAGCACCGGCUAACUACGUGCCAGCAGCCGCGGUAAU
This 450-nucleotide ribosomal RNA is filed under the name uncultured bacterium. RNAcentral's name for it is "bacterial SSU rRNA". It matches the Rfam family "Bacterial small subunit ribosomal RNA", at positions 62 to 524 of the family's 1533-position model. The record is from RNAcentral.